AGAUUGAACGCUGGCGGCAUGCCUUACACAUGCAAGUCGAACGCGAAAGUAGGGGGCAACCCCUGCGAGUAGAGUGGCGAACGGGUGAGUAAUACAUCGGAACGUGUCCAGUAGCGGGGGAUAACCUCUCGAAAGAGAGGCUAAUACCGCAUACGACCUACGGGUGAAAGGGGGGAUCGCAAGACCUCCCACUAUUGGAGCGGCCGAUGUCGGAUUAGCUAGUUGGCGGGGUAAAAGCCCACCAAGGCGACGAUCCGUAGCUGGUCUGAGAGGACGGCCAGCCACACUGGAACUGAGACACGGUCCAGACUCCUACGGGAGGCAGCAGUGGGAAUUUGGACAAUGGGCGAAAGCCUGAUCCAGCCAUGCCGCGUGG
RNAcentral lists this ribosomal RNA (376 nucleotides) under uncultured soil bacterium. RNAcentral describes it as "bacterial SSU rRNA". It matches the Rfam family "Bacterial small subunit ribosomal RNA", at positions 26 to 404 of the family's 1533-position model. The record is from RNAcentral.